RNAcentral lists this ribosomal RNA (466 nucleotides) under uncultured bacterium. Its description in RNAcentral is "partial 16S ribosomal RNA". It matches the Rfam family "Bacterial small subunit ribosomal RNA", at positions 27 to 507 of the family's 1533-position model. The record is from RNAcentral.
GGACGACCGCUGGCGGCGUGCUUAACACAUGCAAGUCGAACGGAAAGGCCCUGCUUGCAGGGUACUCGAGUGGCGAACGGGUGAGUAGCACGUGGGUGAUCUGCCCUGCACUUCGGGAUAAGCCUGGGAAACUGGGUCUAAUACCGGAUAGGAGCCAUUUUUAGUGUGAUGGUUGGAAAGUUUUUUCGGUGUAGGAUGAGCUCGCGGCCUAUCAGCUUGUUGGUGGGGUAAUGGCCUACCAAGGCGGCGACGGGUAGCCGGCCUGAGAGGGUGGACGGCCACAUUGGGACUGAGAUACGGCCCAGACUCCUACGGGAGGCAGCAGUGGGGAAUAUUGCACAAUGGGCGCAAGCCUGAUGCAGCGACGCCGCGUGGGGGAUGACGGCCUUCGGGUUGUAAACUCCUUUCGCUAGGGACGAAGCUUUUUGUGACGGUACCUAGAUAAGAAGCACCGGCUAACUACGUG